ACCCUACUGCUAUCGGGGGAGGACUAAAACAUGCAAGUCGUGCGUCUCCAAGCCACGGUGGAGACGCGGCACACGGCUCAGUAACACGUGGCUAACCUACCCUUGAGACGGGGACAACCCCGGGAAACUGGGGCUAAUCCCCGAUAGGAGAAGACACCUGGAACGGGUCUUCUCCCAAAGGGCGUCCGGACCAUGCUUCUGGGCGCCGCUCAAGGAUGGGGCCGCGGCCGAUCAGGUUGUUGGUGAGGUAACGGCUCACCAAGCCUAUAACCGGUACGGGCCGUGAGAGCGGGAGCCCGGAGAUGGGCACUGAGACAAGGGCCCAGGCCCUACGGGGCGCAGCAGUUGCGAAAACUCCGCAAUGCACGAAAGUGUGACGGGGCUACCCCGAGUGCCGUCCGCUGAGGGCGGCUUUUCCCCGGUGUAAGGAGCCGGGGGAAUAAGGAGAGGGCAAGUCUGGUGUCAGCCGCCGCGGUAAUACCAGCUCUCCGAGUGGUAGGGACGAUUAUUGGGCUUAAAGCGUCCGUAGCCGGCCUGGCAAGUCUCCCGUUAAAUCCAACGAUCCAAUCGUUGGACUGCGGGAGAUACUGUCGGGCUAGGGGGCGGGAGAGGCCGACGGUAUUCUCGGGGUAGGGGUAAAAUCCUAUAAUCCCGGGAAGACCCCAGUGGCGAA
Molecule: ribosomal RNA, 673 nt
Filed under: uncultured archaeon
Lineage: Archaea
Description: bacterial SSU rRNA
Rfam family: Archaeal small subunit ribosomal RNA
Source: RNAcentral